AGCCAACUCCAGGAUGCAUUAAUAAAAUGACAGUAUCCCCAGAGAAGACUAGCAUGGCCCCUGUGCAAGGAUGACAUGCAAACUCAUGAAGCAUUCCAUAUUUUU
Molecule: small nuclear RNA, 105 nt
Organism: Cebus imitator (Panamanian white-faced capuchin)
Lineage: Eukaryota; Metazoa; Chordata; Mammalia; Primates; Cebidae
Source: RefSeq, a predicted model, not a curated record